This 107-nucleotide small RNA is filed under the name Marmota monax (woodchuck). Lineage: Eukaryota; Metazoa; Chordata; Mammalia; Rodentia; Sciuridae. The record is from RNAcentral.
GCUGGGCACAGUGUCUCACACCUGUAAUCCCAGUGACUUGGGAGGCUGAGGUAGGAGGAUCACAAGUUCUAGGCCAGCCUGGACAACUUAGUGAGAUCCUGUUUCAA